GCACUCAGGAGGCAGAGGCCAGUGGAUCUCUGAGAGCUCAAGGCCAGCCUGGUCUUAAAAGUUAGUUCCAGCACAAGGCUUAGAGUUUGCACACCAGAUGUGCUAAUCCCCAAGGUUUCCCCAAAUAUGGAAAACUCAACUGCAAAAUCUGUGGUAGUGGGGUACUGCAUAUAUUCACCUCUCCC
RNAcentral lists this small nuclear RNA (185 nucleotides) under Microtus ochrogaster (prairie vole). Its description in RNAcentral is "U1 spliceosomal RNA (ENSMOCG00000011378.1)". Lineage: Eukaryota; Metazoa; Chordata; Mammalia; Rodentia; Cricetidae. The record is from RNAcentral.